This is a long non-coding RNA of Oncorhynchus gorbuscha (pink salmon), 530 nucleotides long. RefSeq lists it as uncharacterized. Lineage: Eukaryota; Metazoa; Chordata; Actinopteri; Salmoniformes; Salmonidae. The transcript has 3 exons. The record is from RefSeq and is a predicted model, not a curated record.
UAACACCUUCCCACCCUGUCCGUCUGUCUUCAGGAUGCAGUGAAGCGUCUGGAGUGGAUAGCCGGGGGGACGUGGACCCCGUCAGCGCUGAAGUACGCCUACGACCACCUGAUCAAGGACAGCCGCCGAGCUAAAGCCAACGUCACCGUGGUGGUCAUCACAGACGGACGGUUCGACCCCAGGGACGAUGACUCACUGCUCACAUACCUCUGCAGCGACCCCAGUGUGGACGUGAGCGCUAUAGGUAUAGGGGACAUGUUUGACCAGAUAGAGGAGAAUGAGAGCCUGAAGAGUAUAGCCUGUCAGAGAGAAGGUAGGGUGCUGGGGAUGAGGCGCUUCGCUGAUCUGGUGGCAGAGGAGUUCAUCGACAAGAUAGAGACCGUGCUCUGCCCAGACCCUGUGAUCGUGUGUCCUGACCUUCCAUGUAAAACUGGUAAGAUCAUUCUGAUACAUACUAUAACAGAUACAUACUAUAACAGAUACAUACUUUAACAGAUACAUACUAUAAUAACAGAUACAUACUAUAACAG